RNAcentral lists this ribosomal RNA (434 nucleotides) under uncultured bacterium. Its description in RNAcentral is "partial 16S ribosomal RNA". It matches the Rfam family "Bacterial small subunit ribosomal RNA", at positions 29 to 507 of the family's 1533-position model. The record is from RNAcentral.
AGCGAACGCUGGCGGCAGGCCUAACACAUGCAAGUCGAACGAACCUUUCGGGGUUAGUGGCGGACGGGUGAGGAACACGUGGGAACGUGCCUUUAGGUUCGGAAUAACUCAGGGAAACUUGUGCUAAUACCGAAUGUGCCCUUCGGGGGAAAGAUUUAUCGCCUUUAGAGCGGCCGGCGUCUGUUUAGCUAGUUGGGUGAGGUAAUGGCGCACCAAGGCGACGAUCAGUAGCUGGUCUGAGAGAAUGAUCACCCACAUUGGGACUGAGACACGGCCCAAACUCCUACGGGAGGCAGGAGUGGGUAAUCUUGCGCAAUGGGCGAAAGCCUGACGCAGCCAGGCCGCGUGAAUGAUGAAGGUCUUAGGAUUGUAAAAUUCUUUAACCGGGGACGAUAAUGACGGUACCCGGAGAAGAAGCCCCGGCUAACUUCGUG